Molecule: small nuclear RNA, 107 nt
Organism: Cervus hanglu yarkandensis (Yarkand deer)
Lineage: Eukaryota; Metazoa; Chordata; Mammalia; Artiodactyla; Cervidae
Source: Ensembl
GUGCUCACUUCAGCAGCACAUCUACUAAAAUUAGAAUGGUACAGAGAAAAUUAGCAUGGCUCCUGUGAAAGGAUGACUUGCAAAUUCUUGAAGCAGUUCAUAUUCUU